This 226-nucleotide small RNA is filed under the name Pongo abelii (Sumatran orangutan). Its description in RNAcentral is "processed transcript". The record is from RNAcentral. Lineage: Eukaryota; Metazoa; Chordata; Mammalia; Primates; Hominidae.
AUUAGCUCCCACCUGGCCCGGACCCUCCUCCCUCCUCUGGCCGGGUUAAAAUCUGGAUUGAAAAAGCAAGUGCGGUUUGAUGGCCUCUCAAAAAGUGGAGCAUAGGCUGGGCGCGGUGGCUCACGCCUGUAACGCCAGCACUUUGGGAGGUCAAGGUGGGUGCAUCACCUGAGGUCAGAAGCUUGAGACCAGCCUGGCCAACAUGGUGAAACCCCAUCUCUACUAA